This 259-nucleotide ribosomal RNA is filed under the name uncultured bacterium. RNAcentral's name for it is "partial 16S ribosomal RNA". It matches the Rfam family "Bacterial small subunit ribosomal RNA", at positions 524 to 776 of the family's 1533-position model. The record is from RNAcentral.
UACAGAGGUCUCAAGCGUUGUUCGGAUUCAUUGGGCGUAAAGCGCGUGUAGGCGGCUCGAUAAGUCUGCUGUGAAAGUCCAGGGCUCAACCCUGGGAUGCCGGUGGAUACUGUCGAGCUCGGAGUCCGGAAGGAGGCGAAGUGGAAUUCCUGGUGUAGCGGUUGAAAUGCGCAGAUAUCAGGAAGAACACCCGUGGCGAAGGCGGCUCUCUGGAACGCAACUGGACGCUGAGACGCGAAAGCCGUGGGGAGCAAACAGG